RNAcentral lists this ribosomal RNA (483 nucleotides) under uncultured bacterium. RNAcentral describes it as "partial 16S ribosomal RNA". It matches the Rfam family "Bacterial small subunit ribosomal RNA", at positions 28 to 507 of the family's 1533-position model. The record is from RNAcentral.
GACGAACGCUGGCGGCGUGCUUAACACAUGCAAGUCGAACGCUGAAGCUCAGCUUUUGUUGGGUGGAUGAGUGGCGAACGGGUGAGUAACACGUGAGUAACCUGCCCCCUUCUUUGGGAUAACGCCCGGAAACGGGUGCUAAUACUGGAUAUUCACUGGUCUUCGCAUGGGGGUUGGUGGAAAGGGUUUUUCUGGUGGGGGAUGGGCUCGCGGCCUAUCAGCUUGUUGGUGGGGUGAUGGCCUACCAAGGCUUUGACGGGUAGCCGGCCUGAGAGGGUGACCGGUCACAGUGGGACUGAGAUACGGCCCAGACUCCUACGGGAGGCAGCAGUGGGGAAUAAUGCACAAUGGGCGCAAGCCUGAUGCAGCGACGCCGCGUGAGGGAUGGAGGCCUUCGGGUUGUGAACCUCUUUCGCUAAUGGUCAAGCCGCAACAAUGGUUGUGGUGAGGGUAGUGGGUAAAGAAGCGCCGGCUAACUACGUG